UCCGCAAUGGGCGAAAGCCUGACGGAGCGACGCCGCGUGCGGGAUGAAGGCCUUCGGGUUGUAAACCGCUGUCAGUUGGGAGGAAAUCUAUGGGGGUUCUCCCCCAUAGUUGACCUAUCUUCAGAGGAAGGACGGGCUAAGUUCGUGCCAGCAGCCGCGGCAAGACGAACCGUCCAAACGUUAUUCGGAAUCACUGGGCUUAAAGGGUGCGUAGACAGAUAGACAAGUUGGGUGUGAAAUCCCUCGGCUCAACCGAGGAACCGCGCUCAAAACUGCCAAGCUAGCGGAAGAUAGAGGUGAGCGGAACUAGUGGUGGAGCGGUGAAAUGCGUUGAUAUCAUUAGGAACACCUGUGGCGAAAGCGGCUCACUGGGUCUUUUCUGACGCUGAGGCACGAAAGCUAGGGUAGCGAACGGGAUUAGAUACCCCGGUAGUCCUAGCUGUAAACGAUGAGCACUAGGUUGGAGGUUCCUCCAUAGGUUUCCGACCGAAGCGAAAGUGUUAAGUGCUCCGCCUGGGGAGUUUGGUAAGCAAGGCUGAAACUCAAAGGAA
Molecule: ribosomal RNA, 551 nt
Filed under: uncultured Planctomycetota bacterium
Lineage: Bacteria; Pseudomonadati; Planctomycetota
Description: bacterial SSU rRNA
Rfam family: Bacterial small subunit ribosomal RNA
Source: RNAcentral